Molecule: ribosomal RNA, 497 nt
Filed under: uncultured bacterium
Lineage: Bacteria
Description: partial 16S ribosomal RNA
Rfam family: Bacterial small subunit ribosomal RNA
Source: RNAcentral
GACGAACGCUGGCGGCGUGCCUAAUACAUGCAAGUUGAGCGAUGAAGAUUGGUGCUUGCACCCAUUUGAAGAGCAGCGAACGGGUGAGUAACGCGUGGGGAAUCUGCCUUUGAGCGGGGGACAACAUCUGGAAACGAAUGCUAAUACCGCAUAAUAACUUUAAACAUAAGUUUUAAGUUUGAAAGAUGCAAUUGCAUCACUCAAAGAUGAUCCCGCGUUGUAUUAGCUAGUUGGUGAGGUAAAGGCUCACCAAGGCGAUGAUACAUAGCCGACCUGAGAGGGUGAUCGGCCACAUUGGGACUGAGACACGGCCCAAACUCCUACGGGAGGCAGCAGUAGGGAAUCUUCGGCAAUAGACGAAAGUCUGACCGAGCAACGCCGCGUGAGUGAAGAAGGUUUUCGGAUCGUAAAACUCUGUUGGUAGAGAAGAACGUUGGUGAGAGUGGAAAGCUCAUCAAGUGACGGUAACUACCCAGAAAGGGACGGCUAACUACGUG